UACAGAGGGGGCAAGCGUUGUUCGGAAUUACUGGGCGUAAAGGGCGCGUAGGCGGCCUGUUAAGUCGAACGUGAAAUCCCCGGGCUCAACCCGGGAACUGCGUCCGAUACUGGCAGGCUUGAAUCCGGGAGAGGGAUGUGGAAUUCCAGGUGUAGCGGUGAAAUGCGUAGAUAUCGGGAGGAACACCGGUGGCGAAGGCGGCCCCCUGGUUGGAUACUGACGCUGAGACGCGAAAGCGUGGGGAGCAAACAGG
This 253-nucleotide ribosomal RNA is filed under the name uncultured bacterium. RNAcentral's name for it is "partial 16S ribosomal RNA". It matches the Rfam family "Bacterial small subunit ribosomal RNA", at positions 524 to 776 of the family's 1533-position model. The record is from RNAcentral.